RNAcentral lists this long non-coding RNA (1363 nucleotides) under Marmota monax (woodchuck). Lineage: Eukaryota; Metazoa; Chordata; Mammalia; Rodentia; Sciuridae. The record is from RNAcentral.
GCCAUGGGUCACCUGUCACACAGAGAACACACUGUGUACUCCUGUCAGUGUGAGAAGCCAUGGGAAAGGAGGUAGAGUGAAUUCAAGUCUUGCUUCACCCAUGCCACAUCCAAUUCUGGAGCACUGGAGGGCUCUCUCUGACCAGUCUCUCUACUGGGGAGCAGCCCAACUGGGAGCCACACCUGCAUUUAUAAAUUUGGGGUUUAUAGCGUGUCCUGUUGGAGAUAUUUUACUCUUCUUCCACUUUCACUCCACUCAAAUUUUUCUUGCAACUUAAUGUGCAAGUGUAUAGUUUUAUGAAAAAUUAAUUUUCUUAAUAUAAGUAUUUCCCCAUGAAUUAAAGCAAGAAUUUCUGCAAUGUUUUAUUAUUAUUAUUUUUUGGUUAAUCUUGAUAUCAGCAGUGCUUAUUCCGCAAAGAGAGUUAGACAGUCCUUGACUUUUGCAGAAUUUUUCAAGGUCUCCCCACUAUUAAAUAUCAGAUCUCCUGACCUCUGCUGAUUAGGACAUUUAUACUCCAGCCAACAAACAAAUGUUAAACUAUUUUUUUGGUGAUUCUGUCUGACUCCCACAUUCCAUUGUUGGCAGUGUGCAUUCAAGUAUUGUUUUCCAAUUAUUUGAAUACCUAUAACAUUUUGCUAUUAUCAUCUUAGAAAAAGUGAACAGAGGGUAGAAAAAAGGAAAAUGCUAAUAUUAGUGAUAGCCCAGACAAGUAUGUCAAAGGCAAGUAAUUAGUAGUCAGAUGUUUCAUGGACAUCAAAUGCUUGGCUGUGAGUUUAGUUGCAGAGGAAGAGACCCAGCCAGGACCACAGAUGACAUUCUGAAAUAUCAUCAAUGGCAAAGCAUGUCAAUAGAGGAUAUAGGGUGCCGGCCUAAGUAUAAAUGGAGAAUUAACAACCAAAUGUGGGGAGAUAUGCACAAGACGUAAAGGCACAACUUCUCACAGACCCCGUCUCACAGGAGAAGACACCUGGCAUCCAAAAUUCUCUUGAGAACAACUUUAAGAAAACUGAUCUGAUACUAUUAAAUAGAAUUGCUGUCAGUUAGUCUUUCCCCCAGCUUUAAAUAAGUUCCUUCCCCAAGCUGAGAUAACUGACAGUUGAAAUAAUAAAAAAUUAUUUCAAAACAUCUAUUUUAACUACCUACCUUUAAUGUUUAUUGUUUUUAGUGAAUUAAAUGAUCACUUACACAUUGUAAAUUCAAGCAAAAAAUUAUGUCUUUAAUCACAGUUAUGUAUUUUAUAAUGUUUUUGAGCUCUCUGGAAGCAGAAUCCUCUAUAUCUCUACUGUUUGACUUUCAGGCACUUGACUUUCCAAUGUACUUUCAGAAACUCAUUAUACAUAAAUGUAAAGGACUUUAUGAUUUA